UUUUAUCAGAGAGUUUGAUCCUGGCUCAGGAUGAACGCUGGCGGCGUGCUUAACACAUGCAAGUCGAACGGGAAACCUUUUAUUGAAGCUUCGGCAGAUUUAGAUUGUUUCUAGUGGCGGACGGGUGAGUAACGCGUGGGUAACCUGCCUUAUACAGGGGGAUAACAGUCAGAAAUGACUGCUAAUACCGCAUAAGCGCACAGAGCUGCAUGGCUCGGUGUGAAAAACUCCGGUGGUAUAAGAUGGACCCGCGUUGGAUUAGCUAGUUGGUGAGGUAACGGCCCACCAAGGC
Molecule: ribosomal RNA, 292 nt
Filed under: Blautia massiliensis (ex Durand et al. 2017)
Lineage: Bacteria; Bacillati; Bacillota; Clostridia; Lachnospirales; Lachnospiraceae
Also listed under: 1 other name
Description: partial 16S ribosomal RNA
Rfam family: Bacterial small subunit ribosomal RNA
Source: RNAcentral